GCUGGGUAUGGUGGUGCGUGCCUAUAGUUCCAGCUACUCAGAAGGCUGAAGCAGGAGGAUCUCUUGAGCCCAUGAGUCCUGAGCUGCAGUGCACUAUGCCAAUUAAUUGGGUGUCCAUGCUAAGUUUGACAUCAAUAUGGUGACCUCCUGGGAGCAGGGGACAGCCAGGUUGCCUAAGGAAGGGUGAACUGGCCCAGGUUGGAAAUGCAGCAGGUCAAAACUCCUGUGCUGAUCAGUAUUGGGAUCACUCCUGCGAAUAGCUACGGCACUCUAGCCUGGGCAACAGAGCAAGACCCGGGCUCUU
Unclassified non-coding RNA from Papio anubis (olive baboon), 304 nucleotides. It matches the Rfam family "Metazoan signal recognition particle RNA". Rfam says of the family: The signal recognition particle (SRP) is a universally conserved ribonucleoprotein. NCBI's taxonomy places the organism in Eukaryota, Metazoa, Chordata, Mammalia, Primates, Cercopithecidae. The record is from Ensembl.